Molecule: long non-coding RNA, 1153 nt
Organism: Oncorhynchus keta (chum salmon)
Lineage: Eukaryota; Metazoa; Chordata; Actinopteri; Salmoniformes; Salmonidae
Exons: 3
Source: RefSeq, a predicted model, not a curated record
CGGUAGAGACCACAUAGAUCAACUGUUUAUUACAUAGCAGGAGAAGGAGGACCAGAAAAUGAAUUGGGGAUGUGUCGCAAGAACAGGAUUUAUAUAGAGGUCUUUCAAUCUAGAACAGUAUUUAUAUAGAGGUCUUUCAAUCCCACAGGAUUUAUAUAGAGGUCUUUCAAUCCCACAGGAUUUAUAUAGAGGUCUUUCAAUCCCACAGGAUUUAUAUAGAGGUCUUUCAAUCCAGAACAGGAUUUAUAUAGAGGUCUUUCAAUCUAGAACAGGAUUUAUGUAGAGGUCUUUCAAUCCCACAGGAUUUAUAUAGAGGUCUUUCAAUCCCACAGGAUUUAUGUAGAGGUCUUUCAAUCCCACAGGAUUUAUAUAGAGGUCUUUCAAUCCCACAGGAUUUAUGUAGAGGUCUUUCAAUCCCACAGGAUUUAUAUAGAGGUCUUUCAAACCCACAGGAUUUAUAUAGAGGUCUUUCAAUCCCACAGGAUUUAUAUAGAGGUCUUUCAAUCCCACAGGAUUUAUAUAGAGGUCUUUCAAUCCCACAGGAUUUAUAUAGAGGUCUUUCAAUCCAGAACAGGAUUUAUAUAGAGGUCUUUCAAUCCUACAGGAUUUAUAUAGAGGUCUUUCAAUCUAGAACAGGAUUUAUAUAGAGGUCUUUCAAUCCUACAGGAUUUAUAUAGAGGUCUUUCAAUCCAGAACAGGAUUUAUAUAGAGGUCUUUCAAUCUAGAACAGGAUUUAUAUAGAGGUCUUUCAAUCCCACAGGAUUUAUAUAGAGGUCUUUCAAUCCAGAACAGGAUUUAUAUAGAGGUCUUUCAAUCCCACAGGAUUUAUAUAGAGGUCUUUCAAUCUAGAACAGGAUUUAUAUAGAGGUCUUUCAAUCCCACAGGAUUUAUAUAGAGGUCUUUCAAUCUAGAACAGGAUUUAUAUAGAGGUCUUUCAAUCCCACAGGAUUUAUAUAGAGGUCUUUCAAUCUAGAACAGGAUUUAUAUAGAGGUCUUUCAAUCCCACAGGAUUUAUAUAGAGGUCUUUCAAUCCCACAGGAUUUAUAUAGAGGUCUUUCAAUCUAGAACAGGAUUUAUGUAGAGGUCUUUCAAUCCCACGUGGAAAAUGUAAUGUGGACAGCACAUCAGGGUCAGACUAACAUGUAUGCUUUUG